AUACUGUAUAUUAUUAUUGUAGUGACGUUCAGUUAAUAUGAACAAAACCUCUCCUUUUCCUUAAAAGGUACAGUGGGUAAUAAGGGGUAUCAAGGAGGGGCAAAGGGCUGUUCUUUGAGCAUUAAUACAGUUUCUUGUCACAAACAAAACAUCUUUACUUUGUCACCUAACAGACCAACAGCAGGGAAACCAA
Long non-coding RNA from Cynoglossus semilaevis (tongue sole), 193 nucleotides. RefSeq lists it as uncharacterized. The record is from RefSeq and is a predicted model, not a curated record. The transcript has 2 exons. Lineage: Eukaryota; Metazoa; Chordata; Actinopteri; Pleuronectiformes; Cynoglossidae.